RNAcentral lists this ribosomal RNA (1352 nucleotides) under uncultured bacterium. Its description in RNAcentral is "bacterial SSU rRNA". It matches the Rfam family "Bacterial small subunit ribosomal RNA", at positions 28 to 1381 of the family's 1533-position model. The record is from RNAcentral.
GAUGAACGCUAGCGGCAGGCCUAAUACAUGCAAGUCGAACGAUACCUUCCAGCUUGCUGGAGGGAAAAGUGGCGCACGGGUGCGUAACGCGUAUGCAACCUACCUUAAUCAGGGGGAUAGCCCGGAGAAAUCCGGAUUAACACCGCAUAAAAACACAGGAUAGCAUUAUCCAAUGUUCAAAUAUUUAUAGGAUUGAGAUGGGCAUGCGUGUCAUUAGCUAGUUGGCGGGGUAACGGCCCACCAAGGCGACGAUGACUAGGGGAUCUGAGAGGAUGACCCCCCACACUGGUACUGAGACACGGACCAGACUCCUACGGGAGGCAGCAGUAAGGAAUAUUGGUCAAUGGAGGCAACUCUGAACCAGCCAUGCCGCGUGCAGGAAGACUGCCCUAUGGGUUGUAAACUGCUUUUAUCCGGGAAUAAACCUCUUUACGUGUAGAGAGCUGAAUGUACCGGAAGAAUAAGGAUCGGCUAACUCCGUGCCAGCAGCCGCGGUAAUACGGAGGAUCCAAGCGUUAUCCGGAUUUAUUGGGUUUAAAGGGUGCGUAGGCGGCCUGUUAAGUCAGGGGUGAAAGACGGUAGCUCAACUAUCGCAGUGCCCUUGAUACUGAUGGGCUUGAAUGGACUAGAGGUAGGCGGAAUGAGACAAGUAGCGGUGAAAUGCAUAGAUAUGUCUCAGAACACCGAUUGCGAAGGCAGCUUACUAUGGUCUUAUUGACGCUGAGGCACGAAAGCGUGGGGAUCAAACAGGAUUAGAUACCCUGGUAGUCCACGCCCUAAACGAUGAACACUCGCUGUUGGCGAUACACAGUCAGCGGCUAAGCGAAAGCGUUAAGUGUUCCACCUGGGGAGUACGGUCGCAAGAUUGAAACUCAAAGGAAUUGACGGGGGCCCGCACAAGCGGAGGAGCAUGUGGUUUAAUUCGAUGAUACGCGAGGAACCUUACCCGGGCUUGAAAGUUAGUGAAUGAUUUAGAGAUAGAUCAGUCCGCAAGGACACGAAACUAGGUGCUGCAUGGCUGUCGUCAGCUCGUGCCGUGAGGUGUUGGGUUAAGUCCCGCAACGAGCGCAACCCCUAUGUUUAGUUGCCAGCACGUCAUGGUGGGGACUCUAAACAGACUGCCUGUGCAAACAGAGAGGAAGGAGGGGACGACGUCAAGUCAUCAUGGCCCUUACGUCCGGGGCUACACACGUGCUACAAUGGAUGGUACAGAGGGCAGCUACAUAGCAAUAUGAUGCGAAUCUCACAAAGCCAUUCACAGUUCGGAUUGGGGUCUGCAACUCGACCCCAUGAAGUUGGAUUCGCUAGUAAUCGCGUAUCAGCAAUGACGCGGUGAAUACGUUCCCGGGCCU